This is a non-coding RNA of Triticum urartu, 259 nucleotides long. Lineage: Eukaryota; Viridiplantae; Streptophyta; Magnoliopsida; Poales; Poaceae. The record is from RefSeq and is a predicted model, not a curated record.
UGGCUCCCCUCCAAUCCGUCUCAAUCCCAACGCCCCUCCCAGGAGGACAUGCAACGACAAGCGUUGGCGCGUCGUCGCGGGUGGCAGCGAGGAGGACGGCCCAUGGCAGCCCCCGAAGCACCACCACGAUAGCACCUCGCCGCGGCCCCUCGGCAUGGGUUGGCGCCCCCCGUCCAAGAGAUGGGAGUAGAUGCACUACAAGAGGGAUAGGAGCUCGUUGAUCAUCAGGCUUAUAAGUAUCUCCUUGCUGAAUAUCAGG